GACGAACGCUGGCGGCGUGCUUAACACAUGCAAGUCGAACGGAAAGGCCCUGCUUUUGUGGGGUGCUCGAGUGGCGAACGGGUGAGUAACACGUGGGUAACCUGCCCUUGACUUUGGGAUAACUUCAGGAAACUGGGGCUAAUACCGGAUAGGAGCUCCUGCUGCAUGGUGGGGGUUGGAAAGUUUCGGCGGUUGGGGAUGGACUCGCGGCUUAUCAGCUUGUUGGUGGGGUAGUGGCUUACCAAGGCUUUGACGGGUAGCCGGCCUGAGAGGGUGACCGGCCACAUUGGGACUGGGGUACGGCCCAGACUCCUACGGGGGGCAGCAGUGGGGAAUAUUGCACAAUGGGCGGAAGCCUGAUGCAGCAACGCCGCGUGCGGGAUGACGGCCUUCGGGUUGUAAACCGCUUUCGCCUGUGACGAAGCGUGAGUGACGGUAAUGGGUAAAGAAGCACCGGCUAACUACGUG
RNAcentral lists this ribosomal RNA (468 nucleotides) under uncultured bacterium. Its description in RNAcentral is "partial 16S ribosomal RNA". It matches the Rfam family "Bacterial small subunit ribosomal RNA", at positions 28 to 507 of the family's 1533-position model. The record is from RNAcentral.